Molecule: long non-coding RNA, 763 nt
Organism: Branchiostoma floridae (Florida lancelet)
Lineage: Eukaryota; Metazoa; Chordata; Leptocardii; Amphioxiformes; Branchiostomatidae
Exons: 4
Source: RefSeq, a predicted model, not a curated record
UUUGAUCACACAAAAUUGCCAACAUUACAAAUGUAGAUGAACUCAUCCCAUUAGUGAAGGGCUAUAUAAACAGGCAACUCUGUCGCUGAUGGUAAGACAUUCUACAACAUUCUCAUCGGUGAUAUCUUCUGAUCCUGAUCCUUCAGCCUCAAGAUGAAGACGACCCUGGUGUUUCUUCUUGUUGUCCUGGUCAUCUCUUCCCAGCUGAUGACCACUGAAGGACACUUUAGGCUUGGCCGAGGCAUGGAACGUGGUGCCGAGACUAUCAAGGCGAUGUUGGCCCGCCAGGCUGAGCGCCGUGAGCUGGCCAGGGAGCUGGAGCUGGCCAGGGAUGUGGAGAAGCGGGAUGUGGACACCCGUAUGAGUGAUAUGCUGGAGGAAGCUGAAUGAUCAAAGGACAGUCGGACGACCACGUGACCAUCGCAUGCCUGUCACGUGACCAUCACGUGCCUGCCACGUGAUCAUUGACGGCUGUCAAUUUCCUCCGCAUGGAUGACAAGUUCGGGAAAAUUCGCCUUUUAAAAAAUUCAAAAUAGAAAUCAUAGUUUGACUUUGUUAUUGAUAGACGCGUGAAUAAGAAGUAAUUUACAAGAAUCUUACAUUUAUUAUUAAUUAAACAAAAAGCUUCCGCUUCGUAACGUUACAAUUUGGGCAAGUUUGGUAAUCAAGAUUCUGAUACUUGUCAAAUUCUGGAAUGUCAGCAAUAUGUAUGGUAGACUUCUGCACGGUGAAAAACUGCAAAUAAAAGAUUGCAUGAUGCAUA